AAUCAUCAGCCAGCAGACUGAACUUUUUAAUGUGAACUGGAAUACCGGGCAAUGACUUUUGUAGUUACGAAUUUUCUAAGUACAUUGACAAACAGAGCUGCGAUUUCAGAACAUUCCGUAUGAGCAUGGAAUCAAUCGAAAACUAUGUAAAAUAUCAGGUAUAUACUCGUAUAUAAUCAAUUCUUGACACGAAUGCUGCGGUUGUGGCACAGCCAAUUAUUUGGUGUGUUAACGUCGCGCAAUCGACACGAUGAAUCGCUAAUUGGGGAAAAAAUAAUGACAGCACCGUCAAUUAAAAUAUGGUGUAAAUUUAUUUGUAUCACCUUGCAUGCAGGUUUUAAUUAAAGAUUCUGGAGAUGUUACUG
Long non-coding RNA from Drosophila subobscura, 365 nucleotides. RefSeq lists it as uncharacterized. Lineage: Eukaryota; Metazoa; Arthropoda; Insecta; Diptera; Drosophilidae. The transcript has 2 exons. The record is from RefSeq and is a predicted model, not a curated record.